Molecule: ribosomal RNA, 444 nt
Filed under: uncultured bacterium
Lineage: Bacteria
Description: partial 16S ribosomal RNA
Rfam family: Bacterial small subunit ribosomal RNA
Source: RNAcentral
GUAAGGAAUAUUGGGCAAUGGUCGGAAGACUGACCCAGCCAUGCCGCGUGCAGGAAGACGGCCCUCUGGGUUGUAAACUGCUUUUAUCUGGGAAGAAAAAGGCCAUGCGUGGCAAAUUGCCGGUACCAGAUGAAUAAGCACCGGCUAACUCCGUGCCAGCAGCCGCGGUAAUACGGAGGGUGCGAGCGUUGUCCGGAUUUAUUGGGUUUAAAGGGUGCGUAGGCGGCUGAUUAAGUCAGCGGUGAAAGACUUCGGCUUAACCGGAGCAGUGCCGUUGAUACUGGUUGGCUUGAGUGUCGGAGGGGUACAUGGAAUUGAUGGUGUAGCGGUGAAAUGCAUAGAUACCAUCAGGAACACCGAUAGCGAAGGCAUUGUACUGGCCGACAACUGACGCUGAUGCACGAAAGUGUGGGGAUCGAACAGGAUUAGAUACCCGUGUAGUCC